RNAcentral lists this ribosomal RNA (1960 nucleotides) under human gut metagenome. RNAcentral describes it as "bacterial LSU rRNA". It matches the Rfam family "Bacterial large subunit ribosomal RNA", at positions 1 to 1983 of the family's 2925-position model. The record is from RNAcentral.
GAAAGUAAGCAAGGGCAGACGGUGGAUGCCUUGGCUCUCGGAGGCGACGAAGGACGUGAUAAGCUGCGAAAAGCCCGGGGGAGGCGCAAAUAGCCCUUGAUCCCGGGAUAUCCGAAUGGGGCAACCCGGCAGGUUGAAGGCCUGUCAUCCCGAAAGGGAGGCGAACGUGGGGAACUGAAACAUCUAAGUACCCAUAGGAGGAGAAAAUAAACAAUGAUUCCGUAAGUAGUGGCGAGCGAACACGGAAGAGCCCAAACCCAUGUCGUCUAGGCGACACGGGGGUUGUAGGACCACGACGUGGCAAGAUAGAGUCAAGUGGAACGCCUUGGAAAGGGCGACCGUAGAGGGUGAUAGUCCCGUACACGACUGACGAUUGAAGCCUAGUGGUAUCCUGAGUAGCGCGGGGCACGAGAAAUCUUGCGUGAAUUAGCGGGGCCCAUCCCGUAAGGCUAAAUACUCCCGAGAGACCGAUAGCGAACCAGUACCGUGAGGGAAAGGUGAAAAGAACCCCGAGCAGGGGAGUGAAAUAGACCCUGAACCCGUCUGCCUACAAGCGGUCGGAGCGUCGUAAUGACGUGACGGCGUGCCUUUUGCAUAAUGAACCUACGAGUUACCUUCCCCGGCAAGGUUAAGUACCUAAGGUACGGAGCCGAAGCGAAAGCGAGUCUGAACAGGGCGCCAAGUCGGGGGGGGUAGACGCGAAACCGAGUGAUCUACCCUUGGCCAGGUUGAAGGUUGGGUAACACCAACUGGAGGACCGGAUGGGUAAGCGUUGAAAAGCUUUCCAAUGAGCUGAGGGUAGGGGUGAAAGGCUAAUCAAACUCGGAGAUAGCUCGUACUCCCCGAAAUGCAUUUAGGUGCAGCCUCUUUAUAGUAUAUCGUGAGGUAGAGCGACUGAUUGGAUGCGAGGGCUUCACCGCCUAUCAAGUCCAGAUAAACUCCGAAUGCGCGAUAUAUAUUUAAAGGGAGUGAGGGCGCGGGUGCUAAGGUCCGUGUCCGAGAGGAGAAGAAUCCAGACCACCGGCUAAGGCCCCCAAAUGAUCGUUAAGUUGAACUAACGAGGUCGGAUCGCAGAGACAGCUAGGAUGUUGGCUUGGAAGCAGCCAUUCAUUUAAAGAGUGCGUAACAGCUCACUAGUCGAGCGAUCUGGCGUGGAUAAUAAUCGGGCAUAAACGAUCUGCCGAAGCCGUGGAUGUCGCAAGACAUGGUAGGGGAGCAUUCCAUGCGGCGUCGAAGAUGAGGGAUGACCCUUGUUGGAGCGCAUGGAAAAGCAAAUGUAGGUAUGAGUAACGAUAAGGGGGGCGAGAAACCCCCCCGCCGAAAGACCAAGGUUUCCUGAUCAACGCUAAUCGGAUCAGGGUGAGUCGGGACCUAAGGCAAAGCCGAACGGCGCCGCCGAUGGAAGAAUGGGUUAAUAUUCCCAUACUGCCUCAUGGAGUGACGUGGAGACGGAGAAGUGACAGUCCUGCCGGCUGACGGAAUAGCCGGUUGAAGGGUGUAGAUAUUGAUUCCCGUAGGCAAAUCCGCGGGGAGAGUCGAACCUGAGAGUAUACGGAGCGCUUGCGCGACGUAAUAUGGACGUAACCAUGCUCCCGAGAAAAUCCGCUAAACUUAUCCAUGCGGCACCCGUACCGUAAACGGACACACGUGGUCGGGUUGAGAAUACUGAGGCGCUCGAGUGAUUCACGGUUAAGGAACUAGGCAAAUUGACCCUGUAACUUCGGGAUAAAGGGUCCUCGUCGUAAGGCGAGGCGCAGAGAAUAGGUCCAGGCAACUGUUUAACAAAAACACAUGGCUGUGCUAAAUGGAAACAUGAUGUAUACAGCCUGACACCUGCCCGGUGCCGGAAGGUUAAGAGGAGAUGUCAUCCGCGAGGAGAAGCGUUGAAUUGAAGCCCCGGUAAACGGCGGCCGUAACUAUAACGGUCCUAAGGUAGCGAAAUUCCUUGUCGGGUAAGUUC